AGUCAACAUGCCCAGGGGACGUGGAUAACCUCGGGAAACUGAGGAUAAACCGCGAUAGGUCAUCACUUCUGGAAUGGGUAAUGACUUAAACCUAUAUGGCCCCUGGAUUGGACUGCGGCCGAUCAGGCUGUUGGUGAGGUAAUGGCCCACCAAACCUGUAACCGGUACGGGCUCUGAGAGGAGGAGCCCGGAGAUGGGCACUGAGACAAGGGCCCAGGCCCUAUGGGGCGCAGCAGGCGCGAAACCUCUGCAAUAGGCGAAAGCUUGACAGGGUUACUCUGAGUGAUUUCCGUUAAGGAGAUCUUUUGGCACCUCUAAAAAUGGUGCAGAAUAAGGGGUGGGCAAGUCUGGUGUCAGCCGCCGCGGUAAUACCAGCACCCCGAGUGGUCGGGACGUUUAUUGGGCCUAAAGCAUCCGUAGCCGGUUCUACAAGUCUUCCGUUAAAUCCACCUGCUUAACAGAUGGGCUGCGGAAGAUACUAUAGAGCUAGGAGGCGGGAGAGGCAAGCGGUACUCGAUGGGUAGGGGUAAAAUCCGUUGAUCCAUUGAAGACCACCAGUGGCGAAGGCGGCUUGCCAGAACGCGCUCGACGGUGAGGGAUGAAAGCUGGGGGAGCAAACCGGAUUAGAUACCCGGGUAGUCCCAGCUGUAAACGAUGCAGACUCGGUGAUGAGUUGGCUUAUUGCUAACUCAGUGCCGCAGGGAAGCCGUUAAGUUUGCCGCCUGGGGAGUACGGUCGCAAGACUGAAACUUAA
Molecule: ribosomal RNA, 754 nt
Filed under: uncultured archaeon
Lineage: Archaea
Description: bacterial SSU rRNA
Rfam family: Archaeal small subunit ribosomal RNA
Source: RNAcentral